UAUUUUUGUAUUUUAUUGUGUUGUAAGCCGCCCCGAGGCUUCGGCAAGGGGCGGCAUAGAAAUGUUCUAAUAAAUAAAAUAAAUAAAUAUUGUGUUCAAGAGUCACAAUGCCUUGUGGCUCCUUAAAACUCAUAAAUGUACUGUGGCACAAUAAGCUUUCAUAGACUACUGUACAGAAAGUUAUUUUGAAAGAUGUUUUUCAUGAAAUUGGAGAAAAAGGCACUUGCUUAAAUACAAAUGUAAGAACACCCUCUUGGACUAGCUGGCUUUUUGCUCAUAUGUGCUUCCCUGCUGCUGCCUCUUUUGAAUCUUUCUACCUGAUGCCCCCCACCCCGAAUGGGGCCUCCUCUUCUCUGCAUCCAUUUUCUUUUUUUACAAAAAGUAGUGUCCAUAUUCUACACACACACUUACUUUAGACCCUGAGGCAUCUGCUGCAGAUAGGUAAUUCAGGAUUUCAUGAAAAAGGAAAUUAUUCAUUAUUUAAUUUAUUAAUUGAUUUUAUAUUUCCAUUGCUGGAGAAGAGGAGAGGUAUUUCUAAGAUUUAUUGCCUCAGGGAACAAAACAACUUGAUUGACUUUGAGUACUACUGUGCACCAGGAUGGGUCCUGUGGAUGGAAGCACUAUCUGUUCCUCUGUCUCAGGUAGAAAACUGUAUUUGAACCAACCCUCAGGCAUCAGUGUAGAGACUUGUACAACUGGGCAUUCAAGGAGAUCUGUGGAUGGCAAAACAUGUUCAGAAUUGCAUCAAAUUCACUAAACAUGUUUGCUUAGAAGUAAAUUCAGUGAAAUCUGUUCCUGAAUGAUGAAUGUGUAUGUAGGAUAGGAGUUCUUAUAAAUGUUCUCAGAACUGCAGAGUGCCUUAUCCACCCUGAAUAUUGUUCCAAUAUCUGACUUUAGAUAUAAAUCUGAGGACUGAUAACUUUGAUAAUUUAAAAAACAAGAAAUCAGACAUUAAAUCAAGCAUGCUGGUUUAUGAGUUAUAACACUCCAACGUCUACAACUGGGCAAUACUUUUAUUGGGAAUUGUUGCUGGUUCUAAGAAAGACAUCCAAUUAUGCAUUUGGGUACUUGAAGUGGUAUAUGAUUCUAGCAGUUGCGAGAACUUAAUAUUGAAAUAUCUGAUGUAGAGUUUAGGAUUUCAAGAAAUUAGAGCUCAGGAAAAGUAAAAAAUGAGUUCUGGAAUCAAAGGCUCUAUAAAAAUAAGGUAUUUAAAAUAAAAUGAGUAGUCCCCUUUGGCAGCUAUUGUCUCUGCUUCCUCACCUGGUCUGGACACCAAGAGCAACCAAAAACAAAAAAUCCCUCUAGCGUUGAGGUUUUUGUUCAGUGCUUGAUAGUGAAGUGGAGUGGAUAGAAGACUGAAUAAUGAUUUACUCAGAAGUAAUGUCCACUAAAUUUAAUGGGGGUUACUCCCUAGUAAUUAUGUUAAAUUUGAAAACUUAGAGCCAUAGUUUAUUAUUCUCUGCAGUAUAUUCUCACAUGCUCCAGUGUGUCAUGUUCAGUUUGCAAUCAGUAAAUGUUUAAGAAGCCCUGAAGCUCUUGUCUGGUCCCAGGCACUCCAUCCUUUCUAUCUGAAUUUGAGCCUGAAAGAUCAAGGAAAUGUGUGGGUAUGUGAAGAAGGGUGAAUGGCCAACACGAAGAAAGCCAUGUUUUGAUAUCACAAGCAAACAUUCAACUGUAUUAGGUCUGAAGUUCUGAACUUUAGCUUAAUGUCUAUGGAAGUGUUUUGGACUGGGAGUCAUGGCUAGCAAUUCUCCAAGAGACAUCUUAAUGUAUAUUAUUCACUCCAGAUCCAAACUUUUUGUUAAGUUUGCAUUUCACCUAGAUUCAUUGUAUGUUCAUUGAAAAGUGUUUUUCAUAAUAUACCAAAACAAUUAUGUCAAUCUUUGUUUUUUUCAUCAAUUCCUGUUUUCUGUAACUGGAGAAUUUCUAGACUAACAUGAGAAAGAAGUCUUACAAAAAGAAGCAUGUUUGUUUUUUGUAUUUAAUUUACAUUCCCCUUUCAAAACAACAAAGAAAAAUGUGUGAUACAGAUGAAUCGACUCUUGUAGACAGUAUAAAAUGUCCAUGAGAGAAUCACAUUAUCCGCUAAUUAGGUUUAUCCCAUACAAGCAUGUAAUCUCAUUUUUAGUGGAACUAAAGGGAAAAUAGUCAUGUAGAAAUGGUUGCCAUAUUAUAGUUAUUCUAACUUUCUUGAAACAAGCUGAAAUAAAUACUUUGCAUUUCAUAUGAUGUUCUUAAUUUUAAAUUGUGCAGCUGAACAACCAUCUGAGGGGGUGGUUUAAUUUGGAGUCCUGCAUUGAGCAGGGAUGGACCCAAUACCUUCUUGGCCCCUACUGUUCUAUGGCUCUAUGAAAUAUUUUAAAAUUCUUUUCUGAUAUUUUAUGUGUGUUUUGAAUAAUGUUAUAAGUUCUUAGUACAUUAAAAAAAGUCAUUUAUAUAGUAAAAUGCCUCUAGAAUCUUUCAAUUGCUUUAUUUUUAAGAAACAAUAUUCUAUUGUAAGAUAAAGAGUCUUCAAUCUUUUUGGAAUGUUAUGAGAGUGUUGUGGACACUCUCACAAAAUGGCUGCUGUGGGAGUUUUCCUAGUCAUAAAAUGACUGCCAUGGUGGACAUAGCACAAAAUACUCGUUUCCAAGAAUACAAACUGAUAACUUACCCACGAACCAAAGUGCAAGGGAAAAAAUGAGGGUGAGCUCCAGAAUACAAAAACAGUCUCUUCACAGAAGACAAUCUAAUGGUGUACAGAAACAGGUAAACAAGACCAAAUGCUAAAUCACAUAUUUUCCCCAAAGUACUCAUUUCACAGAACAGAAACUAGUGAUACUCGGGGAACUAGAUGCACCACAGAGCCAUGUGCACAACCCAGACAAAACAAACCCACAGAAGAAAACAUACUGUGCCAAAACAAACCAAGUCACACACACGGGGCAAAACCCCCACACACAGCACAAGCAAAAUACCCCCAUGCUUUCCACAAUGCUGUCUAGAUGCCCAGGACAUGGCUUACCUCUUCCAGUCUGCCUUUUUGUUCUUUCUGGGAGGCUGAGCACAUUCCAGGAUGAACUAGUGAGCUGCGGGCACCUACCACUUUUGUCUUGGAAGAAUGCCUUUGCAAACUGAGUUGCACACAGAAAUAAAUACGGUAAUGAAGAGCAGUUCAUCACCUUGGUGUAUGACUGCCUUUAAAUGGGGAAAAACAUUGAAAAACUUUAGGAUGUGCAGUUCUUCUUUUUGUUCCUAAACUUGCUGCUAAUCAGAGGAUAAGGGAAAGCAAGGCAGAGAGGAGGAUGGAAGAGGAAAUGGUGAGGCUAGAGGCUAGGAGAGAGAGAAAUAGAAGGUAAAGAGGUAGGUGGGAAAGAAGGAAUGAGACUAGGGGCUAAGAAGGGAAAAAAGAAAAAAGCUAUGGACAUGGGGGAUAAAUAGUGAGAAAGAAAUAGGGAAAGACUGGGGGAAAGAAAUAGGCAGAGACUAGGAAUGAAAAGGAAAAUGAAAAAGGGGAAAUGGUCUGUGCGGAUGAAUGUAGGUUGGGUGGAACCGUAUGCAACUCCUUUCAUUUCCCUCUCCUAGCUUCUAGCCUCGAUAUUUCUCUUCCCCCAACUCUUGACUAGCUAGGCCUCUAUGGAAGCUACAAAGUAAUAAGGCAUAUCCUCCAUGGGGCUCACAGCAAUUUCUCAAAAUGGCACGUGUCCAGAAAAGUUGGAAGGCCUUGUCCUACAGGAACAAUUUUAGUAUCAUUGAAAUGAAAAUGCUGCCACAAUGUCAUAAAGCUAUAUGGCUUUUUCUUCAGAACCACACCAAGGCUUUGUUGCUCUCCUAUUUUUAUACUGGUUCUCUAAUGUCUUGAUAGACUAUAAACUCAUUCUGAAGGUCAAAUGGAGCUUACCACAAGUAUGUUAUGAUCAAAUGCCAUCCUGACUAUAAAGAAGAUAAUCUGCCUAGGUUACCUCUCUUAAUUUUGUCACAUAGUAUGUCAGUGGCUUUAGCUUACAUGAUAAAAGUGUGAUAUGCUGGUCUACCUGCAGCUGCAGGAACAACUAGCAGAGUGCUGUUGGAAGGAAGAAAGCUGUGUUUAAUGAUCUUUUGUGUAGAAAAAAAGAGUUUCUGGAAUGGGGGAACUCUGCACAGAGUGUACCUUCUCCACCUGGGCAACCCUGUUCACUGUCCCUCCUGGCAACAUUUUCAGCAUAAUAAUAUAUAUUUUUAAGUAUUUACCUGGUGAAUGUGUAACUCAGUCCUUCAGGGACAAUGUACCCAGCAUGAUGGCAUCACUGUGUCACAUGGCCAGUCAUAUGUAGCACCGUAGCAGCAUCUCUGAAAGCAAUCAAAUCCUUUACAGGGCCUCACAUCACUCUCUUUUCCAAGUAUCCGGUGGCAUAUGAUGGGGCUUUUCCAUAUUAAUUUUUAUUGGGCUCUGGUAGUAUUAGCACUGAUUUUUUAUAUUAACAUGUUUUAUUAUACAUUAUUACAUUGUGAACUGCCAGGAACAUUUUAGCUGUUGGAUGGUCUGUAACUAUAAUUGUGUGUGUGUUUGUGUAAUCAAGUAGAAAGACUUCACAUCUGAGUUUAGCCAGCUCACACUUGCAGAUCUCCUUAGCUCGAUCAGGUCACCUGAAUGACCAUGCUAUGCUGGUGGUCACACUGCUUGCUGUAAUUGAAAAAGCCUCCUUCUUGCUUCUGCCCACAUAUCACUGAAAAAGGAAGGCUCUUUUCCAAGUUCAUGAUCCACUCCAGCCAGAAAGGGAAAGAUCUACCACUGUCAAUUUUGUUCUUCAUUCUCCAUCAUGGUUUGAAGCGAGCUAUGUUGUACUUGUUAAAUGUUGUCUGUUCUGUUGAACUUUUGACCUUGGAGUAUGGGUACCAAGGAACCCACAAAUCCCAAUGAAGUCUCUUAAAUAUUCAGCAAAUCAGAAAUGUGAUACAACAUUGAUCCCUUGUUAUAGAAAUCCUAUCUCAAGUUAUUGAAAUUUCUAAGGUUGUUUGGAGUACAAUGUACUACUUUGCUGAAAUGGUUGUCUGUAGCAGAAUAUAAGAGUAAAGAUACCAGGCCAGGUAUCCCAAUAAAAUAUUGAAAUAUGUUCACUUCUCCAGUAAAUAUGAAUUCAUUAAUUUCUCUUUGUACAUUCCAAUCACUUUCACAGACAUCCUUGGCUGACAAAGUCAGUAUCAUAACCCUAUUGUAAAUACAAACUUCUGCAGUAGAGUAAAUAGUAAGAUUAACCUUUCCUAGAGAUAACUUGUAGUUCUCAAAACAGCAGUGACAUUCCAGGGCACUUAAAAACAUGCAAUGACUAGCUAUUAAGGCUAUGCUAUUCACUGUGCUGUCCUUCCAGUGAAAUUGCAAGGGGAAACUGGUGGUUUCCUAGUUUUACUAAAAUAUGAAAAUAAAUAAAAACAUGUUUGCCAAUUUUCAUAUAGCAAAAGGUAGAGGCCUACAUGGUAUUAACAUUAAUUUUGAUAAUAUUGAAUAUAUGUAAUUUUAUAUAUUUAUAUGCUUAAUUCAUUUCUUUAUCAUUCAGUACUGAUAUAGAAAUUCACAACAAAUAAUGAAAUACAAAAGAUAAAUUAAAAAUACAAAUGCAAUUAAGUACAGUAUAAAAUUCUAGUACAUAAAUUAAAACAGCUAAAAAUCUGUAACAGUAAAGUACAGUUUAACAUUUAAAACAUUUUCAUUAAAACCUAGACCAAAUUUAAAAUACCAGACAGAACCUAUCAUAUGCCAAUUAAAUACCAUUAAAUUCCUGGAAAUAGAGGGUAGUUUUAACCUGGUGCCAGGUGGACCUCAGUAGGGAAAUCCAUAAUUGGGGGCCCAUGACUGAAAAGGCCCUUCUCAUUGCCUCUUCCUGGGUCUCCCUUGAAGGUGGUAAUUGGAGAAGAUGUUGAUAAUAGGGUCCAGGUAUAUAGAGGUUGGGAGAGGUAUUCCAUCAGUUAUUGAGGUCCCAAGCUGUAUAGGGCUUUAUAAAUUAAAACCACCUUGAAUUAAGUGGCCAAUGCAAGCAGGCCUGAGUUGGUGUUAUUAGACUUUUUGCACAAGCUGCAGCUUCCAGUCUUCAAGGGCAGUUCCACACAGUGUGUAUCAGUAUUCUCACUUGGAAUUCACCAAAUCAUAGAUUAAUGAAAUUAUAUUAUCCUUGUCCAGAUAAUCUAUGUCUUGGUGGCAUAGCUAGGUCACCAGCUGAAUGCGGUAGAAGCCACUCUGUGCCACUGAGGACAGCUGAGCCCCAGGUAGAUCACAAGCUGGAUCCAGGACCACCUCUGGACUACAAAUCUGCUCCUUUAAGGGGAUUGCAAUCCCAUCCAGAACAGAUUGAGCACCCACCCUGACUAUAUACAGAUUGCAGAAGUAUCCACCCUCUUCUGACUUUUCCACAUUUGCAAAAUGUGGUAUGUUUGUUGUGCUACUGCCUCAAACUGAAAUGGAUUUAAUUGACUUUGUUACUGCUUGAUAUUCAACAGUGUGAAGGUUCAAAAUAUUUGUAUUGUGGCAUGAAACUACAGUCAACAAAACCAAACUGUCACUUCUGGUUGCCUAAGUAUUUACCCACCCCCCACCAGGUUAAUACUUGAUAGAAGUACAUUGGACGGCAGUUAUAGCUAUGAGGCUUCUUGGGGGGGGGGGGGUUAGCUUUGCACAUCUGGAUACUGCAGUGUUUGACAUUCUUCAUGGAAAAAAUGGUUCCAGUACUGUCAUUUGGAUUGGGACUGUUGCUGAACAACAACAUUCAACAUGGAUAGAGGUCUAGGUUUUGACUGGACCAAUCUGAGGCAUUCAGGAUCCUGUUUUUAGACUGCUAAAGUGUCUGUGUGUUCAGGAUCAUUGUCCUGCUGGAAGGUGAACCUCCACACUGGUUCCAGAUCCCUUGCAGACUAGAUCAGGUUUUCCUCUACUGUGUUUCCUAUAAUUGGCUUCAUCUCUCUUGUCCUUAAUCCCGACUAGUUCCCACCUCUUGCCAAGGAGAAUCUCCCACCACAUGAUGCUGCCACUGCCAUUCUUCACCAUAGACAUUAAUCACUACUGACUUUCCAUCACAAAUAGCAUUUUCCAUCAAGGCAAAAAAGUUCAAUUUUGGCCUAUCAGACCAGAGAACCAAUUUCCAGAUGUACUGUGUCUCUCAUACUCCAUUUAGCAAAUUCCAAUAGUACUGUGAUAUUGGGUUUGUUUAGCAAUGGCUUUCUUCACAUGUCACAGCAAAUUAAGGGUGUGUGAAUGCUUAUGCAACCAACAAAUGCCAGAUUGUUUUUGCUUAUUUAACUGUUAUACCACAAUAAAAAAUAUUUUGCACCUUUACAAUGUCGUGUAUCAAUGCACAUUAAUGUAUAACAACGCCAAUUAAAUCUAUUUCAAUUGAAGGUAUGAACACCAUAAAAUAUGGAAAAGUCAAAGGGAGUUAAUACUUUUGCAAGGUACUAUAAGUACCUGAACUACAAGAAAUAAAGUAAAAGGUCAAGUGAAUAUUGCUAUAUCCAAUUGAAUCUGAAAGAGGAAUAGAUGAAAUUAAAAAAAUGUAAUUGAACUUACACACUGAAAGAAGUCUCAACAGCAGACCAGAGUUUGGACCCAAAAUUACACUGGAUCAAUUGCAUGGGUGGGACUUCCGUCACCCGUCCAGUUCUAUGAAAAUGCAGCAGAGUUCAAGGAUGGGUGAACUAUGGUGUAUGCAGGAAAUGGAAUACCCCAAAAUUGUGUAAAAAGACCCUCUGUGAACACAGCCCUUCUUUAUAUGGAAAGCCUAUCCUGUAUCCAUCCUGUGUCAAUCCAUUAUGGGAAAAAUCCAAAGAAAAAGUAAGGUAAUUAUUAUGACCUACUGGAAUAUCUGAGGUCACUUAUAGGAGUAUUGCCUGUUUAUUUUGGAUUUUUUCUAGUGAUACCCUUUAUUGCCAAGAUCACAUGGCCAAAGAAGACAAUUCUGAUGAUCACUCAGAAUUUCUAUGGCACUGUAUUUUGUAUAGUAUUUGAAACACAGGGUGAAGCCCCUUAAUAUCUCCCAAGAACACUGAAAAGUCUUAACUGUCUGCACCUGCAAGGAUCUUUUGAAAUCAAAUUUAAACCUUAUAUUUUCUUUCCCGUUCUGCAUUUCCUCUUUAAAUGUGCACUGGUGAAAUCCAUUUAUCACAAAGUAUGUCUUUUAUAGACUUUGUACUAGAGACUUAAGCUCUUUAUUUACUGUAUCUGGAGGCCUCAGUAAGCUAAGAAUUCUACAGUAUUUUACAUUUAUUUGUUGAAGCUGUAGCUUAGGAUCAGGUAGCAGCUGAGUCACAUAAGGUUAUUCAAAUGCAUCUAAAAUGUUGCUUAAUAAUUCAGAACCAGUUUGCUCUGUUUAGAGUAUUAUGGAUUUUAAAAUCCCUUUAAUUAGUCAAUUCCAACAGCAGUUUAAAUAAACAAAGAGAGAGGAAAUCUAUUUCUCUAUCUUCAACUUCAAAACUGUAGUUAAAAUAAAUUUUAUCUUACUGAAAGAGUACAGUUCGUUCAGCCAAGAAAAGGAUUUCAUUUGAUUUAGGACCAGAUUGUGUCUGGUGACCUCAUGAUAGAUGAUGGCUUAAGAACCCUUCUGGCCUCAUCCUUCUUCCCUUUUUUUGGCUUUAAUUUUAACCAAAAAUUUAAUCAAAGUGGCAGAUGUCGAUAUUGUGGGUAUAUGUCUGGUACUAGAGACAGGAGCUUGAGGUGGAAAGGAACAAAACACUAUGUUGCAACGUUUUAUUACCUUAUUAUGUAUAAGAAUGGUGAGUUGUUGGUUUAGCACAUGGUUCCUGUAGACCAUAAUUCCACAGCAGUAAUCCAGAUGCCAGUGGAAGCUCACAGGUAGGAUAUGAUGAUAAGAGCUGUCUCCUGUGGUUUGUUCUCCACCUUCUGAUUCUUUGAUUAUGUAUGUUGUUUUGCAGUAGGAAGAUUCAAUUUUGCCUUUGCAGUUGAUCAAGCUAAGUUUAUUAUUUAUUUAUUUAUUUAUUUAUUUAUUAAAACAUUUUUAUGCCGCCCCAUUCGCCGAAGCCUUGGGGCGGCUUACAAGUUGUGGCUGAUAGAUAUAAUUACUUUGACUGAUUCUUUUAAAGAAAUCCAUCUGUGAUAAUAAUCAAAAUAACUUUCGUGCUUCUAAGUGCCAUACAUUUAUGAAGAUUGCAAGCUAAUGGUUUUUGGCGGGAAAAAGCUCUGCUCCCCCUUCCCCAUAGUCUAUAAAAAGUGGAGCGUCCGCCAUUUUGUUCAGCCUUUGCGACCGCUGUUUGUUGUGCCUCGUGCUGCUUUCACUCUCGCUCUGACCGUUGCUCGUCUAGCCUGUUCUUCUUCUCGAUUGUUCUCCCAGUUGUUAUAGCCCCAGUAUUUCUUCUAGUUCUUGUUAGUUCCUCUACUUUGUAUAGUUCUUGUAGUUUUUCUCUAUCAUUCUACCUUUCUUUCGAUCUUC
Molecule: long non-coding RNA, 9389 nt
Organism: Varanus komodoensis (Komodo dragon)
Lineage: Eukaryota; Metazoa; Chordata; Lepidosauria; Squamata; Varanidae
Exons: 2
Source: RefSeq, a predicted model, not a curated record